GAUGAACGCUAGCGGCAGGCCUAACACAUGCAAGUCGAGGGCAGCACGGUGUAGCAAUACACUGGUGGCGACCGGCGCACGGGUGCGUAACGCGUAUGCAACCUACCCAUAACAGGGGGAUAACACUGAGAAAUUGGUACUAAUACCCCAUAACAUCAGGACCGGCAUCGGUUCUGGUUGAAAACUCCGGUGGUUAUGGAUGGGCAUGCGUUGUAUUAGCUGGUUGGUGAGGUAACGGCUCACCAAGGCAACGAUACAUAGGGGGACUGAGAGGUUAACCCCCCACAUUGGUACUGAGACACGGACCAAACUCCUACGGGAGGCAGCAGUGAGGAAUAUUGGUCAAUGGACGAGAGUCUGAACCAGCCAAGUAGCGUGAAGGAUGAAGGUCCUACGGAUUGUAAACUUCUUUUAUAAGGGAAUAAACCCUCCCACGUGUGGGAGCUUGUAUGUACCUUAUGAAUAAGCAUCGGCUAACUCCGUG
This 484-nucleotide ribosomal RNA is filed under the name uncultured bacterium. Its description in RNAcentral is "bacterial SSU rRNA". It matches the Rfam family "Bacterial small subunit ribosomal RNA", at positions 28 to 507 of the family's 1533-position model. The record is from RNAcentral.